Neomonachus schauinslandi (Hawaiian monk seal) is the source of this 107-nucleotide small nuclear RNA. The record is from RefSeq and is a predicted model, not a curated record. Lineage: Eukaryota; Metazoa; Chordata; Mammalia; Carnivora; Phocidae.
GUGCUCGCUUCGGCAGCACAUAUAUGAAAAUCGGAAUGAUACAGAGCAGAUGAGCAUGGCCCCCCCACAAGGAUGCACCGCAAAUUCGUGAGGCGUUCACGUUUUUC